This 78-nucleotide transfer RNA is filed under the name Patescibacteria group bacterium. RNAcentral's name for it is "tRNA-Pro". It matches the Rfam family "tRNA". Rfam says of the family: Transfer RNA (tRNA) molecules are approximately 80 nucleotides in length. Their secondary structure includes four short double-helical elements and three loops (D, anti-codon, and T loops). The record is from RNAcentral.
CGGGCUGUAGCGCAGUUGGCUUAGCGCGCCGCGUUCGGGUCGCGGAGGUCGUGGGUUCAAGUCCCGCCAGCCCGACCA